ACUCACCAACAUCCCGAAUAAAGUUGCCCCAUCCACUCUUAGCACUGCUAGAUGCAUCAAAAACAUGCAACAUCAAGUCUUGUGCUGUCAGUUCUCUGAUCCCAGUCAACUGGACAGACUACAGUUAGAAGUUAAUGUUGCUGGAUUGUGCAAAUGGAUCAGUGGGUUGAAAAUGCCUUGGAGCUUGCAGCUGAUUAGGUUCCCAUAGACAGAAGAGAUUUCCUGCUCACAGUGCUUUGCAGACCCAAUUCAAAGCCUAUGACAUUAUCCAUAUCACUGUAAUUCUAGCCAUUUUCCUAUGUUGGAAAAUUUCCUGUUAGAAGCAGCAUGACAGGCAACCAGCAGGCAAAGAAUGCCAGACCCUUCCCUUCUCCACAUUUACUACCGCUUCAAGUUUGAUAUAUGAUGCCCAGGCAUGGAACAACAGCUUCAUCUAAGCAAACUUACAGUGCUUGAGAACAGAGUUGUGACCAAGGGAUUCCUUAAAAUCCAAGCCUCUCAAGAGAAGAGGGAGAAAGAUAUUUGCCUGGACUGGCUGAACAGGUUCUCCUUGCUGUUUAUGGAUGAAUAAGCCUUAUCUCUUUUACAAGCUAGAAGGACGAGGAAGAGCCUGGUCAAGGCAUGUCUUUCCUCCAAGAAGAUGGUGGUGACAAGUGGGAAAUUACUAUAUGAUUCAUAACCCAAAGCUGUGCCAUAUCCUGAACAGGAAGAAGAUGACGUCAAAGACCAUGUCCAAAAGGAUUGGGACUUGCUCAGCUGCAAUAACCUCAUUCCCUUAAUACUUCCUUAAUUCUUUUCUUUAAAAAAAAAAGCACAACAGAAGUAAAAUAUUUUCUCUCUGUUGUUUGAAUACUCUGAAUCUGCAGAAGAGAAGAUGUAGUUUUAUGACCCUACGGUAUGCUUAACCAUAGAACCAUUGACUAGAGCAAAUUUGGCUGGGAUUUCACAAAUUGCUAAGCCAGACUUGAACCAGCUACUAACUAAUAUGCAAAUAUCUAUGGAAGAACAUUUUGUAUCUAGAAUACAUGAAUGUGCUUUGGCACUGGUUAUAUGAGAAUGAGACGUGUAUCGGAAGAAGCAUACCAAUAAACCAAAUAUAGAGGGAAUGGGUUACUUCAGAAAUAAGUGGUGUAAAACAAGAGAUAGGGUCAAGAAUGAACAGGUGCUGAAUGAAUGUGGAUUGAAUACAAAAGUGAGUUUACACAUUAAACACAUUGAGGCUGCUUAAUCACAGAAAGAGAGUGAAUAUGGAUGAAGUUGUAAAACACUCAUAUGAAGGAAGAAUGAGCAGGCUGGGUGCAAGGGAAAGAAUGAAAACAAAUGAGUUGGCUUAGAUGAUGAAAGUUUUCAUCUCCCAUUUUUCUGAAGAUUCUAGUACAAAAGACAAUAUUUUGAAGGGCAUAAGGAGGUGAUAGAGUCAAAGAUAUUUGCAAGAAGAAAAGUUUAGAGAGCUGUAAUCAAUGUUGCUGUACACUCGAUAACACCGUACAUUUAAUUUACUUUGCUUAAACUAUUUCUUACUUCUUUUUGUGCUUUGCAUAACUCUAUUUACUGCAAAAGGGAACAUUAUCUUAUUUCUUUUUAAGAACUAGAAACAAAAGCAUUUUCCCAUGGGAAGGAUUCUUUGUAAUUAAUUUCAAACUCUUAUUUCAAAUUUAUUUGGACUCACUCCAUUUAUAACUUUCUAAAAUCAAAGUUUUAAUCACCUUUUGCUGUUUAUUCCAGAAGAAAAACCUUUAAUUUCUUAAACUUGUAUUUAAAACUCCCUUUACUAAGGAUUGAAGGAAACUUACUCGAUGCUGUAAAACUUGUUUGAUUCCAAAGUUCCUAACAGCUAAAAAUAAGUUAACAAGCAAUUUCUGAAAGUGAUAAGAAAAAGGAAAUAUGUGCAUCCAGUGCCCUUUUAAAGGCACCAAACUUAUUUGGGCAGAAGUGUUAUGCCUUCCUCUCUCAGAGCUCUAAACCCACCCAAGAUCAUUGUCUUGAAGACUCCUCAGAAGAGCAAUUGGAACCCUCACCACAUCUCUGACAUCAAUACAAUUGAACGUGUCCAGAAAUAUUUUACAAGAAGAGUUCUCCAUUCCUUUGAAAACAAUAAAAUACCUUAUCCCACCAGACUUGAAAUCCUGGGCUUAGAAAACUUGGAACUCAGUCGCCUUCGACAAGACCUAAGUUUAACUCACAGAAUCAUCUAUUGUAAUGUCCUUCCUGUCAAAGACUACUUCAGCUUUAAUUGCAAUAAUACUAGAGCAACUAAUAGAUUUAAACUUAAUGUCAACCGCUUUAAUCUAGAUUGCAGAAAAUAUGACUUCUGUAACAGAAUCAUCAGUGCUUGGAAUACUUUACCUGACUCUGUGGUCUCUUCUCAUAAUCCUAAAAGCUUUAACCAAAAACUUUCUUCUA
Molecule: long non-coding RNA, 2403 nt
Organism: Ahaetulla prasina
Lineage: Eukaryota; Metazoa; Chordata; Lepidosauria; Squamata; Colubridae
Exons: 4
Source: RefSeq, a predicted model, not a curated record